This 762-nucleotide ribosomal RNA is filed under the name Triticum aestivum (bread wheat). RNAcentral describes it as "partial small subunit ribosomal RNA". Lineage: Eukaryota; Viridiplantae; Streptophyta; Magnoliopsida; Poales; Poaceae. The record is from RNAcentral.
AUGUCAUUUGCCGGCGUCUCUCUCGUCGGCGACGGCGAGGCCGUCGGCCACGCCAUCAACGUCUCUGCGGCCAGCGGGUACCACCUGCUCGUGGUUAACCGCUACUCGCACAUCAAAGCCACUACACCUAAUGGCGGGAAGGUCGUCUCUCUCCCGUUUACGGUAGGAGGCCAUCGUUGGCGCAUCAGCUGCUAUCCUAAUGGCGACCGCUCAGAUUGUGCGGACUCUGUAUCUCUUUAUUUUCGUCUUGAUGAAAAUGCUGUGGAGGGUCUGAAGGUACAGUACGGAUUUAGUUUCAUCGACGAGCUUGAGAAGCAAGAUUCAACAUAUAUUCGUGCAAAAGAGGCAGACAAUUUCUCCAGCUCUCAUCCCUCUUGGGGUUACAGGAAUUUCAUGAAAAGAGACGCCCUUGAGAAAUCAAAGCAUCUAAAAGAUGAUUGUUUCACCAUCCGAUGUGACGUCGCCAUUGCCACGACAGUUGAUCUCCACAUCAAGGUGCCGCCUUCUAGCAUAAAACAGCAUAUCAGCGACCUCUUCCUGUCCGAGGAGGGCACGGACGUGACAUUCAUGGUGUCCGGUCAGAAGUUCGCUGCCCACCGAUGCGUGCUUGCAGCUCGGUCUGUGGUUUUCAAGGCGGAGCUGCUUGGCUCCAUGAAGGAGGGCACUGUAGCAAGUGUCAUAGAUGUAGAAGACAUGGAAGCAAAGGUGUUUAGGCCUUGCUUGACUUUAUUUACACCGACUCGCUGCCCGAGAUGGAGAUAG